GAUGAACGCUGGCGGCGUGCCUAAUACAUGCAAGUCGAGCGAACAGACGAGGAGCUUGCUCCUCUGACGUUAGCGGCGGACGGGUGAGUAACACGUGGAUAACCUACCUAUAAGACUGGGAUAACUUCGGGAAACCGGAGCUAAUACCGGAUAAUAUAUUGAACCGCAUGGUUCAAUAGUGAAAGACGGUUUUGCUGUCACUUAUAGAUGGAUCCGCGCCGCAUUAGCUAGUUGGUAAGGUAACGGCUUACCAAGGCAACGAUGCGUAGCCGACCUGAGAGGGUGAUCGGCCACACUGGAACUGAGACACGGUCCAGACUCCUACGGGAGGCAGCAGUAGGGAAUCUUCCGCAAUGGGGGAAAGCCUGAUGGAGCAACGCCGCGUGAGUGAUGAAGGUCUUCGGAUCGUAAAACUCUGUUAUUAGGGAAGAACAAAUGUGUAAGUAACUAUGCACGUCUUGACGGUACCUAAUCAGAAAGCCACGGCUAUCUACGUG
RNAcentral lists this ribosomal RNA (497 nucleotides) under uncultured bacterium. RNAcentral describes it as "partial 16S ribosomal RNA". It matches the Rfam family "Bacterial small subunit ribosomal RNA", at positions 28 to 507 of the family's 1533-position model. The record is from RNAcentral.